Long non-coding RNA from Scylla paramamosain (green mud crab), 2192 nucleotides. RefSeq lists it as uncharacterized. NCBI's taxonomy places the organism in Eukaryota, Metazoa, Arthropoda, Malacostraca, Decapoda, Portunidae. The record is from RefSeq and is a predicted model, not a curated record. The transcript has 4 exons.
CUCCUGUUCGCCUGGCAGUGAGUGGCUGAGGUACGCAAGGCGAGGAAUUGUGCCCUUGUGAUCUUGUUUCCCGGUAAGAGCAUGAGGUGCUGCGUUACCACGGUGACUCACCACCACCAUCACCAAAAGCAACAACAACAACGACAACAACAUCACCACUCCCACCACCAUCACCCCCGCCACCACUGCCACCGCCCCCACCCCUACCACUCUAACGAUGACGACCAGACGACCAGAAAACCGGAAAACUCAGAUGAAGAAGACACGCACCACUUCAGGAAAGAGCGGCAGCGAGUGCGAGGCAUGAAUGAACGCACUGGUGAAUGUAUGAACGGGACGCGACCUGGAAGACCUUGGCGCGCGGCUGCUGGCCCGUGAGGUAACCAGGUCAAGGGCGGGGAAAACACACACACACACACACACACACUCUCUCUCUCUCUCUCUCUCUCUCUCUCUCUCUCUCUCUCUCUCUCUCUCUCAGUCGUAAGUAAUGAGCGGCUGUCGUAUGUCCGGCCGACGUUCAAUCCUAGCCAGCAUAUAAAUACUCCCCAGCUACUGUUUCCUCUUGCCCGUGUCACCCCUGCAAGAUAGCGCACGGAUCCUGAUAAUGAGACGCGCCUGUCAUGCUUCUCGUGUGGCGGCGGAGAGUAUCUGACCAGUAAACACACGCUCGAGCUGUACGACUGCCGGAAUGAGAGCGGGUGGUGGCAGGAGAUGGGUCUGUCGAGAGAGGGUUACCACUACUGUGCUUUUGUGAUGAGGAUUUGAAGGUGAGACGAGGACGUGAAGGGAAACUGUGUCACGAGAAGAGUGUGAGGACGUGAGGGUAAACAAGUGGAUAAAAGAUGUUUUCAUUGUAAUGGGAGUGUGUAAAAGAAAGCGAGAGAAAAUGAUAUGUGCUCAUUUGAUUGGGGGCAGAUAACUUUAGGAAAUUAAAAGGAUUGUGAAGGAAAACAGCCAAAUUAAGAUGUUUUCAUUGUAAUGGGUAUAUAUAUAAGCGUAGGAAAUCUGAAGCAUUGUGAAGGGAAACAAGGCAAAAAUAAAAUGUGUUCACUUGAGUGGGGGCAGAUAAGUGUGGGAAAUUAAGAUUGUACAUGAAAACAAGGCAAAGUAAGAUGUGUUCUUUGGAGUGGGGCAAGAUAAGGUUACGAACGACUGUAAAAUAAAACCAGAAAAGAAAAAAAAAAGAGCGUGUAAUCUAUUUUUCUUGCAGUAAGCCAGAUUAUGAUUACGUCUGAGUUGAUUAACCUUUUCGCUGCUUAUGAUGCACGGUUCUUUUCUCACAAACCAUUCUGACACAUUUCUUGCCAUUCAAGCGGCACCUCUGAACACCAUGCUGGCUAUAUAUUGAAAAAUCUGCUCAUCCCACCCAUUUUCUUUGCUGCAGGUUCUUGUAAAUAUUUUGUGCAGUGCUUUUAGCGUUGUGAAGUGUCGCAUAUUGCAGUGAAAGGGUAAAGGACACGGAGGCAAACUGAAUAAACUAAGAGGAUGCAUUCAUUAUGGAAGCAAAAGAGAGGCAGGACAGUGAAGAGACGGUGAGCGAAAGCAGGGAAGAAUGAAUUUAUCUGAAACUUAUUUAUACGAGGAUGGAAUUCAACACUUCUUUUUUCGACUUUGACGUGUAAAGUAUGUUGUUAGAGCACUAAACUAGAUGCCCAGGCAAAAAUAAAUAAAUAAAUAAGUGAAGUAUAUAAGCAAAUAAAUAAAUAACAAUAAUAAGAUAACUUAACGCAUACAUAAACAAAUAACCACGCUGCAGCAAGUCGAGUUGCACACUAAACACAAACUGAUCAAAAUCUACUAAAAUCAAAACAAACAAGAGUAAAUCAAGCCCCCACCAACAACACUUAAUUAAAACACAAUACCGCUGACCUCUCUCUCGGAAAAAAAAAAAAAAACAAGUAAUCAAAUAAGUAAGCGAAACCAGUGGCACUGAACUCUAAAGCUACGUAAAGUUUGUAAAUAUAAACUUGACUCAACUCUCCACGAAUCAAAUGGAGCUCAACUGAAACACGCUCCGUCACGCCCAUCGCACCUUAACUCGAACAAAAUAUUAAAAUAAGCCACGUCCAAGUUAGUGCAGAAUAUUUUAAUAAAUGUUGAGGUGAGCCUGGCCAUUUGAUCAGGUGAAAUUAAGCCGACAAUAUACUGCCCUAUAAAUUUUCAAGAGUAUAGGCUGCAGUGGUAUCAGA